GACGAACGCUGGCGGCGUGCUUAACACACGCAAGUCGAACGCUGAAGCUUGGUGCUUGCACUGGGUGGAUGAGUGGCGAACGGGUGAGUAAUACGUGAGUAACCUGCCCUUGACUCUGGGAUAAGCCUGGGAAACUGGGUCUAAUACUGGAUAUGACAUGCCACUGCAUGGUGGUGUGUGGAAAGGGUUUUACUGGUUUUGGAUGGGCUCACGGCCUAUCAGCUUGUUGGUGGGGUAAUGGCCUACCAAGGCGACGACGGGUAGCCGGCCUGAGAGGGUGACCGGCCACACUGGGACUGAGACACGGCCCAGACUCCUACGGGAGGCAGCAGUGGGGAAUAUUGCACAAUGGGCGGAAGCCUGAUGCAGCGACGCCGCGUGAGGGAUGACGGCCUUCGGGUUGUAAACCUCUUUCAGCACGGAAGAAGCGAGAGUGACGGUACGUGCAGAAGAAGCGCCGGCUAACUACGUG
RNAcentral lists this ribosomal RNA (472 nucleotides) under uncultured bacterium. RNAcentral describes it as "partial 16S ribosomal RNA". It matches the Rfam family "Bacterial small subunit ribosomal RNA", at positions 28 to 507 of the family's 1533-position model. The record is from RNAcentral.